Molecule: non-coding RNA, 46 nt
Organism: Schistosoma rodhaini
Lineage: Eukaryota; Metazoa; Platyhelminthes; Trematoda; Strigeidida; Schistosomatidae
Source: Rfam
GCACUGCUGAUGAGUCCCAUAAUAGGACGAAACGGCCGUCCAGUGC